AACGAACGCUGGCGGCAUGCCUAACACAUGCAAGUCGAACGAGACCUUCGGGUCUAGUGGCGCACGGGUGCGUAACGCGUGGGAACCUGCCUUUAGGUUCGGAAUAACUCAGAGAAAUUUGAGCUAAUACCGGAUGAUGUCUUCGGACCAAAGAUUUAUCGCCUUUAGAUGGGCCCGCGUUGGAUUAGCUAGUUGGUGGGGUAAAGGCCUACCAAGGCGACGAUCCAUAGCUGGUCUGAGAGGAUGAUCAGCCACACUGGGACUGAGACACGGCCCAGACUCCUACGGGAGGCAGCAGGGGGGAAUAUUGGACAAUGGGCGAAAGCCUGAUCCAGCAAUGCCGCGUGAGUGAUGAAGGCCUUAGGGUUGUAAAGCUCUUUUACCCGAGAUGAUAAUGACAGUAUCGGGAGAAUAAGCUCCGGCUAACUCCGUG
RNAcentral lists this ribosomal RNA (433 nucleotides) under uncultured bacterium. Its description in RNAcentral is "partial 16S ribosomal RNA". It matches the Rfam family "Bacterial small subunit ribosomal RNA", at positions 29 to 507 of the family's 1533-position model. The record is from RNAcentral.